This 305-nucleotide ribosomal RNA is filed under the name uncultured bacterium. RNAcentral describes it as "bacterial SSU rRNA". It matches the Rfam family "Bacterial small subunit ribosomal RNA", at positions 335 to 639 of the family's 1533-position model. The record is from RNAcentral.
AUCCUACGGGGGGCAGCAGUGAGGAAUAUUGGUCAAUGGGCGCGAGCCUGAACCAGCCAAGUCGCGUGAAGGAUGACUGCCCUACGGGUUGUAAACUUCUUUUAUAAAGGAAUAAAGUGAGGCACGUGUGCCUUUUUGUAUGUACUUUAUGAAUAAGGAUCGGCUAACUCCGCGCCAGCAGCCGCGGUAAUACGGAGGAUGCGAGCGUUAUCCGGAUUUAUUGGGUUUAAAGGGUGCGCAGGCGGCGAGUUAAGUCAGCGGUAAAAUUUCGGGGCUCAACCCCGCCAAGCCGUUGAAACUGGCUU